AUGGCUCCUCUCUCCCAGCCCGUGGGAGCAGCCAUGUCUGCAUUGGAACGCUCUGGCGACAACGGCCCUCCGCCCCACCAGCCCCCUGCGGCGGCCGCCGCUCCGGCCCCGUCGGCCUCCCUCACGGAUCCGCGCGUCCCCCGUAGCUCGCGGCAGCCUGCACCCGCGAGCAGGUUCAGAGCGGAGAAUGGGGGGCGUGCGCGGGUUCCCCGCGAGUCUCCUCCCCUGCUCGGGUCGGUGGCCACCCGGCAGCCCUCCGUCUCUGGCGGCGCUUCCGGUCAGUUGCUGGAGUCCCAGGCUUUGAUCCCCGAGGCUCUCCUUGUUCUAUCGGAUCUGGCGGCGGCCCCAACGCUACCUUCGCCACCUCAGGCGGGCCGAGUCCCUGCACCCGGCGUUGGCUUGGUGGUGGUGCUCGACUCCAGGCCUGCUUCCUGGUGCGCUGUCAAUGAUGAUGAGGUCCAGACUGAGGAGUUGGUUCCACAGCCGUUGCCCGACGGGUCUGCCGGCGAUGCACAUCUCCAGCUUGGUUGCUCUGUUGUGAAGGAUGUGGAAGAUAUUGAGGGCCUCACUGAAGGAUGUGAUGACGAGAAGACACCACAGAAGCUGCUUGGUCCAUCUUCAGAGUCGGCUUGCAUCGGCAUCUCUGCUGCCACUGCUGCUCUUGAAGCGGAGGCUGGCUGGGAGCAUGUGGAACGGGGACACCGUUCCGGCCGGGGUGCUCCCCCUGUGCCGUCGAGAGAAGGUCUUGAGCGUAGCCUCGCCUUCAAGCGUUGGGCUCGAGGAAGGUGCUUUCGUUGCCUCGAGCGUGGCCAUCAAGUCCGUGCAUGUCAUGAUCCAUUCAGAUGCAUACGCUGUCGUCGCCCUGGUCAUCGUGAGAGGUUUUGUCGUGCUCACUCUCCGGUUGCUCGGGAUCGCUCUUCGGUCGCCCGCGUGAGCUCUCCGGUCUCUCAAGCUCAUCACCAGCGGAGCCGCUCCCCAUUUGUCCAGCCUUGUUCUUCGCUAACCAGGUGUUGGGCAGAGGUCGUGAGCAACUCGUCGCUGCAUGUGUCGGUGCCGCCAAGGUCCCAAUCUAGGUGUCGCCAGGAUUCCAAUGUUAGUGCCUUUUUGGUCUCUGCUUUGGAGUCCCAGUUUGCUUUGCUACGUACGGAGCUCCUUUAG
RNAcentral lists this ribosomal RNA (1158 nucleotides) under Triticum aestivum (bread wheat). RNAcentral's name for it is "partial small subunit ribosomal RNA". Lineage: Eukaryota; Viridiplantae; Streptophyta; Magnoliopsida; Poales; Poaceae. The record is from RNAcentral.